UCCAUCUCAAAAAAAAAAAAAAAAAAUUGGAACGUACAGAGAAGUUUAGCAUAGUCCCUGCACAAGGAUGACAUGCAAAUUCAUGAGGUGUUCCAUAUUUUA
Molecule: small nuclear RNA, 102 nt
Organism: Chlorocebus sabaeus (green monkey)
Lineage: Eukaryota; Metazoa; Chordata; Mammalia; Primates; Cercopithecidae
Source: Ensembl